Molecule: ribosomal RNA, 568 nt
Filed under: Hanseniaspora uvarum
Lineage: Eukaryota; Fungi; Ascomycota; Saccharomycetes; Saccharomycodales; Saccharomycodaceae
Description: partial large subunit ribosomal RNA
Rfam family: Eukaryotic large subunit ribosomal RNA
Source: RNAcentral
ACGGCGAGUGAAGCGGUAAAAGCUCAAAUUUGAAAUCUGGUACUUUCAGUGCCCGAGUUGUAAUUUGUAGAAUUUGUCUUUGAUUAGGUCCUUGUCUAUGUUCCUUGGAACAGGACGUCAUAGAGGGUGAGAAUCCCGUUUGGCGAGGAUACCUUUUCUCUGUAAGACUUUUUCGAAGAGUCGAGUUGUUUGGGAAUGCAGCUCAAAGUGGGUGGUAAAUUCCAUCUAAAGCUAAAUAUUGGCGAGAGACCGAUAGCGAACAAGUACAGUGAUGGAAAGAUGAAAAGAACUUUGAAAAGAGAGUGAAAAAGUACGUGAAAUUGUUGAAAGGGAAGGGCAUUUGAUCAGACAUGGUGUUUUUUGCAUGCACUCGCCUCUCGUGGGCUUGGGCCUCUCAAAAAUUUCACUGGGCCAACAUCAAUUCUGGCAGCAGGAUAAAUCAUUAAGAAUGUAGCUACUUCGGUAGUGUUAUAGCUUUUUGGAAUACUGUUAGCCGGGAUUGAGGACUGCGCUUCGGCAAGGAUGUUGGCAUAAUGGUUAAAUGCCGCCCGUCUUGAAACACGGACCA